CUCCAGUGAACCUCUGGGGAAAAGCCAUUCCACAUCCGGGUUUCUGACGUUCCAGCAAGUAACUGGUGAACGCUGCCAAUUUGCUGCGAAACCACAGCGAUGGCCUGCCGCCCUGGUUUCUGCACGGGGACGUAGCUAAGAUGAACAGUGGUCCAUUCUGGGGGUUUGUUUAGCUCUGCAACUAGAAGCGAAAGACUAUUUAUCAAUCAAUGGUUUCCAAAAAUGGGUGUUGGAGACAAUCUAAGGAGAAUCUGAAGAGAUGGAGCUCCCGUGACUCCCUGGGCGUGGAGACUGCAGUUGCUGAGUCUUCCAAGAAGCACGAGGGAGCCAAGGAGCUUGUGUCCAUGGUCUUAGUAAGGUGGGCGCCACAUGGGAAUAGCAAGAGAAGCAUCUUUCUUUCGUGCCAUCCCCUCCACUCUUCUGUGACAAAGACCAACAUGGCAGUGCAGCUAUUGCCUGAAAGCUGUCAAAAUCCCACUGGCAAACCCCUGAUGGAUCACUUCACAGCAAGGGACCUGGGGGGAGAGACCCUACAGUUUCCUUUUCCCAGGCUUUGUUCUAAUGUCAUCUUUGUCCCAUCUUACUAGUUCUUCCCUUUCUUCCUAAUCACAAUUUCUUUUAUCAUGGCUGAGCGUACUUUUCCACUGCAAAAGCAAGCCAGGGAACUUGCUUCAGAUGACAGAGCAAAGGUCUGCACAAUGGAAAAAAAAAGCAAACCAAGGGCUGUAUGUAUGCAUGUGAGCAAAGCUGCCUCCACUCCCAAUUCAUUGCACAAUAGCUGCACAACUCGUACACCUGGGGGGUGAUCCUUUACUGCCAUCAUGAUUGUUCCUAGUUAGGUCACUGCCACCCACUCUCCUAAUGUGGGCAGCACGCCACUCUGAGAGGCAGUGCAAAGAACGCGGGCCCCCACAGUCCAUCCGACUCACCUUUGAAGUCCGGGCUCUGUUACUCAUUAGCAGACAAGUCAUUAGGCUUCUCUGAGGCUUAAUUUUCUGAUCCCUAAAGUGAAGAUAAAGGUCCCCACCUUCCUGGGUUGCCUUAAGGAUUAUGUUCAGGGUGCCAGGCACAUAAGUUCUCAAAAAAUGAGCUAUUCCAGUGUUCAGAGUCUUACACUGUGAUGGGGAAGAAAAUGGUGAAUCAGAUUUGUUUCUUUUUGGGGGAGCCUAAACAAGAAGGAAGAGCUGGUAAAUUUUUGGAUUAAUG
RNAcentral lists this long non-coding RNA (1206 nucleotides) under Equus caballus (horse). RNAcentral's name for it is "lncRNA (ENSECAG00000030827.3)". Lineage: Eukaryota; Metazoa; Chordata; Mammalia; Perissodactyla; Equidae. The record is from RNAcentral.